AAGGACGGGGUCGAGGCGCCGCGGACAUACGGUUGGUGCGGGUGUGGACCGCUUGAUGUGGGUCUAAAGCGUCCGGAGCCGGCCUAAAAAGUUACCUGGGGAAUCCGGUGGCCUAACCAUCGGGCAGCCUGGUGAUAGUAUUAGGCUUGGGACUAGGAGAGACCAGAGGUACUCAUGAGGUAGGAGUGAAAUCCUGUAAUCUUAUGAGGACCACCAGUGGCGAAGGCGUCUGGUUAGAAUAGGUCCGACGGUGAGGGACGAAGGCUGGGGGCGCAAACCGGAUUAGAUACCCGGGUAGUC
RNAcentral lists this ribosomal RNA (300 nucleotides) under uncultured Brochothrix sp. RNAcentral describes it as "bacterial SSU rRNA". It matches the Rfam family "Archaeal small subunit ribosomal RNA", at positions 448 to 746 of the family's 1478-position model. Lineage: Bacteria; Bacillati; Bacillota; Bacilli; Caryophanales; Listeriaceae. The record is from RNAcentral.